Molecule: ribosomal RNA, 449 nt
Filed under: uncultured bacterium
Lineage: Bacteria
Description: bacterial SSU rRNA
Rfam family: Bacterial small subunit ribosomal RNA
Source: RNAcentral
CUCUGUGACUCCUACGGGAGGCAGCAGUGGGGAAUAUUGCACAAUGGGCGCAAGCCUGAUGCAGCAACGCCGUGUGAGUGAAGAAGGUUUUCGGAUCGUAAAACUCUGUCCUAAGGGAAGAAAAAAUGACGGUACCUUAGGAGGAAGCCCCGGCUAACUACGUGCCAGCAGCCGCGGUAAUACGUAGGGGGCAAGCGUUAUCCGGAAUCACUGGGCGUAAAGGGUGCGUAGGCGGCUUAGCAAGCCAGGGGUGAAAGGCAUUGGCUCAACCAAUGUAAGCCUUUGGAACUGUUAAGCUUGAGUGCAGGAGAGGUAAGUGGAAUUCCUAGUGUAGAGGUGAAAUUCGUAGAUAUUAGGAGGAACACCAGUGGCGAAGGCGACUUACUGGACUGUAACUGACGCUGAUGCACGAAAGCGUGGGUAGCGAACAGGAUUAGAUACCCUGGUAG